Molecule: ribosomal RNA, 531 nt
Filed under: uncultured Gammaproteobacteria bacterium
Lineage: Bacteria; Pseudomonadati; Pseudomonadota; Gammaproteobacteria
Description: bacterial SSU rRNA
Rfam family: Bacterial small subunit ribosomal RNA
Source: RNAcentral
UAGGGUUUGAUUCUGGCUCAGAUUGAACGCUGGCGGUAUGCCUAAUACAUGCAAGUCGAACGGAAACGAUGGAAGCUUGCUUCCAGGCGUCGAGUGGCGGACGGGUGAGUAAUACUUGGGAAUCUGCCCAUUAGUUGGGGAAAACACGGGGAAACUCGUGCUAAUACCGAAUAAUCUCUUCGGAGGAAAGGGGACCUCUAUUUAUAAGUUCUCGCUGAUGGAUGAGCCCAAGCAAGAUUAGCUAGUUGGUAAGGUAAUGGCUUACCAAGGCUACGAUCUUUAGCUGUUCUGAGAGGAUGAUCAGCCACACUGGGACUGAGACACGGCCCAGACUCCUACGGGAGGCAGCAGUAGGGAAUAUUGCACAAUGGGGGAAACCCUGAUGCAGCAAUACCGCGUGUGUGAAGAAGGCUUUCGGGUUGUAAAGCACUUUCAAUAGAGAAGAAAAGUUUAGGGUUAAUACCCCUAAGCCUUGACGUUAUCUAUACAAGAAGCACCGGCUAAUUCCGUGCCAGCCGCCGCGGUAAUUCA